UGUUCUAUGAGCACCUUGUCACCUCUGGAGGAUGCUCCGAGUUCCAUAGUGCUAGCAUAUGUACCCUUGGUCUGUAAUCGGUCCCAAGAAAGCUCUUUGAUACUCAGAGUGAUGCCUCCCACUCACAACACUCUGCAACUCCACUACACCUUCAGCCAUGUCAUCACUACUGCUGCAGUGCCAGCCACUGAGCAGGAAACUGAUUUAAGGAAUCCAGCUGCUGGGGACCAGCUACAGCACAAGAGGAAGAUAUGGGAGAAUGCCCAUAAGGAGCCACUGACUGCCAAAGGGCAACUUAUCCUGAAGGGUUAUUCAGGAUAAGAUGAGAUGCCACGUGAUGAGAUGUGCUCUAAGAUGCGAUGUGCUCUAUUUGCCCAGCUAACAAAUGAAAAUGUGGAUUUCCAGACUUGCCAGUUCAAGGGAAGAUCAGCUGCAAAAGCCAGAGCAGUUUUUCCUGGGUCUCCCAUCCUCAGCAGUGAAGGCUGCAUAAGAAAGACAAGUCUGCAAAUUGGGCUUGGGUGAAAUGUGCAGAUAUGCCCAGGAACAAGUCAAUUUACUACAAGAGAUCUAUUUAUCCACAAUCACUAUUUAGAGUAAAACUGAGCUUUGAACUUUUGAAGGCACUUUCACAAUAGAGGGGUUUGCUGUGGUGUCCUUGGCCAAAAAAAUAGUCCCCUUAUUUUCAUCCUGCUAACAUAUGCCAGCUGGCUGCCACCCUCCAUUCCUGGCAUGGCUGCACUUCAGUUUUCUUGUGUGUU
Melopsittacus undulatus (budgerigar) is the source of this 758-nucleotide long non-coding RNA. RefSeq lists it as uncharacterized. The transcript has 4 exons. The record is from RefSeq and is a predicted model, not a curated record. NCBI's taxonomy places the organism in Eukaryota, Metazoa, Chordata, Aves, Psittaciformes, Psittaculidae.